This 462-nucleotide ribosomal RNA is filed under the name uncultured bacterium. RNAcentral's name for it is "partial 16S ribosomal RNA". It matches the Rfam family "Bacterial small subunit ribosomal RNA", at positions 338 to 795 of the family's 1533-position model. The record is from RNAcentral.
CCUACGGGAGGCAGCAGUGAGGAAUAUUGGUCAAUGGUCGCGAGCCUGAACCAGCCAAGUAGCGUGAAGGAUGACUGCCCUACGGGUUGUAAACUUCUUUUAUAAAGGAAUAAAGUGCGGCACGUGUGCCGUUUUGUAUGUACUUUAUGAAUAAGGAUCGGCUAACUCCGUGCCAGCAGCCGCGGUCAUACGUAGGAUCCGAGCAUUAUCCGGAGUGACUGGGUGUAAAGAGUUGCGUAGGUGGCAUAAUAAGUAGCUAGUGAAAUCUGGUGGCUCAACCAUUCAGACUAUUAGCUAAACUGUUAAGCUUGAGACCGUUAGGGGUAACUGGAAUUUCUAGUGUAGGAGUGAAAGGCGUAGAUAUUAGAAGGAACACCAAUAGCGAAGGCAGGUUGCUGGGACGGUUCUGACACUAAGGCACGAAAGCGUAGGGAGCAAACGGGAUUAGAUACCCCAGUAGUC